GAGGGGGUGACUAGUGAGAGAGUGAGGGAGGGGGUCACUAGUGACAGAGUGAGGGAGAGAGGGGGUCACUAGUGACAGAGUGACUCUGUCCCUAGUCACCCCCUUCCUCACUCUGUCCCGUCACCCCUUCCCUCCGUCACUAGUCACCCCUUCCUUCCCUCCCUCUGUCACUAGUUACCCCUUCCCUCCCUCUGUCACUAAUCACCCCUUCCCUCACUCUGUCACUAGUCACACCCUCCCUC
Pelobates cultripes (western spadefoot toad) is the source of this 242-nucleotide non-coding RNA. The record is from the annotation of a GenBank genome assembly. Lineage: Eukaryota; Metazoa; Chordata; Amphibia; Anura; Pelobatidae.